CACGUAGGCACCAAGCGUUGUCCGGAUUUAUUGGGCGUAAAGAGCUCGUAGGCGGUUCAGUAAGUCGGGUGUGAAAACUUUGGGCUUAACCCAAAGCGUGCAUCCGAUACUGCUGUGACUUGAGUUCGGUAGGGGAGUGGGGAAUUCCUAGUGUAGCGGUGAAAUGCGCAGAUAUUAGGAGGAACACCGGUGGCGAAGGCGCCACUCUGGGCCGAAACUGACGCUGAGGAGCGAAAGCCAGGGGAGCAAACGGG
RNAcentral lists this ribosomal RNA (254 nucleotides) under uncultured bacterium. RNAcentral's name for it is "partial 16S ribosomal RNA". It matches the Rfam family "Bacterial small subunit ribosomal RNA", at positions 524 to 776 of the family's 1533-position model. The record is from RNAcentral.